GAAGGUAUAGCUCAGUGGUAGAGCAUGUGCUUAGCAUGCAUGAAGUCUUGGGUUCAAUCCCCAGGACCUCCG
RNAcentral lists this transfer RNA (72 nucleotides) under Camelus ferus (Wild Bactrian camel). It matches the Rfam family "tRNA". Rfam says of the family: Transfer RNA (tRNA) molecules are approximately 80 nucleotides in length. Their secondary structure includes four short double-helical elements and three loops (D, anti-codon, and T loops). Lineage: Eukaryota; Metazoa; Chordata; Mammalia; Artiodactyla; Camelidae. The record is from Rfam by way of RNAcentral.